GCUGCUCAGGUAAUCACACACCGCUACGAGGUGAGUAGCAGGCAACGAUCUUAUGAUCGGCUAAGAUGUGAUA
RNAcentral lists this ribozyme (73 nucleotides) under Clostridiales bacterium KLE1615. RNAcentral describes it as "HDV ribozyme from F. prausnitzii". It matches the Rfam family "HDV ribozyme from F. prausnitzii". The record is from Rfam by way of RNAcentral. Lineage: Bacteria; Bacillati; Bacillota; Clostridia; Eubacteriales.